GCCAGCAGCCGCGGUGAUACACGGCGCGUGGCAAGCGGUGUCCGGAUUUACUGGUUGUAAAGGGUGCGCAGGCGAGAAAAAUCAGUCGGGGGUUAAAUCCAUAUGCUCAACAUCUGGCUGGCUUCCGGUACUGUUUUUCUACAGAGUCGAACAAGAACAUGGAAUUUCCGGUGUAACGGUGGAAUGGGCAUAUAUCUUAAAGAACGCCAGUGGCUAAGGCAGGCUUCUGGGCGACAACUGACGCUCAGGCACGAAACGCCGCGGACCCAUCCGAUCUACAUAGCCUGGUAGUCCACGUCGUAGACGAUGACUACUCGAUGUUGCUCAUACGUGAUCAGUGUGCGCUCUUACCCGGUAAUUAUUCCACCUGGCAAGUACCCCUCCAAGAAUGAAACUUGAAGGAAUUGACCGGGGUC
This 416-nucleotide ribosomal RNA is filed under the name uncultured bacterium. RNAcentral's name for it is "bacterial SSU rRNA". It matches the Rfam family "Bacterial small subunit ribosomal RNA", at positions 507 to 921 of the family's 1533-position model. The record is from RNAcentral.